UUAAGUUCAGCGGGUAUCCCUACCUGAUCCGAGGUCAACCGUGAUAUGUGUGGGUUGCUGGCGGGCGCGCGCCGGGUCCCUAUAGCGAGGAGUAUUACUACGCUCAGGGCCAGACGGCACCGCCACUGACUUUAGGGGCCGCUCGCGGCGGGCCCCAACACCAAGCAGAGCUUGAGGGUUGUCAUGACGCUCGGACAGGC
This 200-nucleotide unclassified non-coding RNA is filed under the name Geomyces sp. Its description in RNAcentral is "partial internal transcribed spacer 2". Lineage: Eukaryota; Fungi; Ascomycota; Leotiomycetes; Thelebolales; Pseudeurotiaceae. The record is from RNAcentral.